Molecule: long non-coding RNA, 221 nt
Filed under: Lathyrus oleraceus (garden pea)
Lineage: Eukaryota; Viridiplantae; Streptophyta; Magnoliopsida; Fabales; Fabaceae
Description: Pisum sativum (pea) long non-coding RNA (PSAT_LNC022233)
Source: RNAcentral
UUAAUUCAAAGUACAUAAUAUAAUAUAAUUAUCGUAAUAAACUUAUUUAUAUUUAUUUAAAUAAGUCGGCCUGACAGGCUCAAAAGGUCUUUUUAAUGGCCCGAGGCCUAGCCUUUUUAGCUAAAUAGGCUUAUAAAAAUCCUAGGCCUUUUAUAUUUAAAAAAAAAGCUUGGCCUAGUCUGGGCCUAUGUAUGAUAGGCCGGAGGCCCCUAUUAGUUGGU